RNAcentral lists this ribosomal RNA (375 nucleotides) under uncultured bacterium. RNAcentral's name for it is "bacterial SSU rRNA". It matches the Rfam family "Bacterial small subunit ribosomal RNA", at positions 524 to 898 of the family's 1533-position model. The record is from RNAcentral.
UACGGGGGGGCAAGCGUUGUUCGGAAUUACUGGGCGUAAAGGGCUCGUAGGUGGCCAACUCAGUCGGACGUGAAAUCCCUCGGCUUAACCGGGGAACUGCGUCCGAUACUGGAUGGCUUGAGAUCGGGAGAGGGAUGCGGAAUUCCAGGUGUAGCGGUGAAAUGCGUAGAUAUCUGGAGGAACACCGGUGGCGAAGGCGGCAUCCUGGACCGACACUGACACUGAGGAGCGAAAGCCAGGGGAGCAAACGGGAUUAGAUACCCCGGUAGUCCUGGCCCUAAACGAUGAAUGCUUGGUGUGACGGGUAUCGAUCCCUGUCGUGCCGAAGCUAACGCAUUAAGCAUUCCGCCUGGGGAGUACGGUCGCAAGGCUGAA